UACAGGGGGGGCAAGCGUUGUUCGGAAUUACUGGGCGUAAAGGGCUCGUAGGCGGCCAACUAAGUCCGACGUGAAAUCCCAAAGCUUAACUUUGGAACUGCGUCGGAUACUGGAUGGCUUGAAUUCGGGAGAGGGAUGCAGAAUUCCAGGUGUAGCGGUGAAAUGCGCAGAUAUCAGGAGGAACACCAAUAGCGAAGGCAGCUCGCUGGGACGGUACUGACGCUAAGGCGCGAAAGCGUGGGGAGCGAACAGG
RNAcentral lists this ribosomal RNA (253 nucleotides) under uncultured bacterium. RNAcentral describes it as "partial 16S ribosomal RNA". It matches the Rfam family "Bacterial small subunit ribosomal RNA", at positions 524 to 776 of the family's 1533-position model. The record is from RNAcentral.